UGGGAGGGAGGAGUAACAAAAGUGAAGACAAAAAUUAAAAACUGAAAUCUAUUUUAAAUUGUUUUCACUUUCAAGUUUUUGUUUUUACUUUUGUUACUCCUCCCUCCCAUCCUCUCCUCU
RNAcentral lists this microRNA precursor (120 nucleotides) under Prunus dulcis (almond). RNAcentral describes it as "sRNA ncRNA". The record is from RNAcentral. Lineage: Eukaryota; Viridiplantae; Streptophyta; Magnoliopsida; Rosales; Rosaceae.